GGGCUCGUAGCUCACUCGGUAGAGCGCCGCCCUUGCAAGGCGGAGGCAGUGGGUUCGAUACCCACCGAGUCCA
Molecule: transfer RNA, 73 nt
Filed under: Nanobdellota archaeon
Lineage: Archaea; Nanobdellati; Nanobdellota
Description: tRNA-Ala
Rfam family: tRNA
About the family: Transfer RNA (tRNA) molecules are approximately 80 nucleotides in length. Their secondary structure includes four short double-helical elements and three loops (D, anti-codon, and T loops). Further hydrogen bonds mediate the characteristic L-shaped molecular structure. tRNAs have two regions of fundamental functional importance: the anti-codon, which is responsible for specific mRNA codon recognition, and the 3' end, to which the tRNAs corresponding amino acid is attached (by aminoacyl-tRNA synthetases). tRNAs cope with the degeneracy of the genetic code in two manners: having more than one tRNA (with a specific anti-codon) for a particular amino acid; and 'wobble' base-pairing, i.e. permitting non-standard base-pairing at the 3rd anti-codon position.
Source: RNAcentral